Molecule: RNA transcript, 2353 nt
Organism: Carlito syrichta (Philippine tarsier)
Lineage: Eukaryota; Metazoa; Chordata; Mammalia; Primates; Tarsiidae
Gene: SLC35H1
Gene name: solute carrier family 35 member C2
Exons: 12
Source: RefSeq, a predicted model, not a curated record
UUCCCCGUCUGUGGUGGGGGUACAUGGGACUCCAGGCGCCGGUUCCUCUGGGCUUUACUGAUCACCUGCGACGUGCCAGGCCCUGCCCGCGGAGAGGCCGCAUCCCGCCGUGGGGGUGGGGCAGACAGUGAACACCAUCAGACCUGGAGACCUGUGAACCCUGCAUCCAAUUGACCAUGGAAAGGUUCGGUUGCAGCCACCAGCCCCUGAGCAGCGCUGUCUUCAAAAGAGGCAUCUGCCCCACUGACCUGGAGCUAGGGAUUGGGCCUCCACGGAUGGGGAGGUGGGCCGUCGACGUGGCCUUUGUGUGGAAGGCACUGUUGACACUGGGGCUGGUCCUUCUCUACUAUUGCUUCUCUAUCGGCAUCACCUUCUACAACAAAUGGCUGACCAAGAGCUUCCAUUUCCCCCUCUUCAUGACGAUGCUGCACCUGGCCGUGAUCUUCCUCUUCUCUGCCCUGUCCCGGGCGCUGGUUCAGUGCUCCAGCCACAGGGCCCGUGUGGUGCUGAGCUGGACCGACUACCUCAGAAGGGUGGCUCCCACAGCACUGGCAACGGCGCUUGACGUGGGCUUGUCCAACUGGAGCUUCCUCUACAUCACCGUCUCACUGUACACAAUGACCAAAUCCUCAGCCGUCCUCUUCAUCUUGAUCUUCUCUCUGAUCUUCAAGCUGGAGGAGCUGGUGACAGACCCAGCCCAGGUGGUAGUACUGAAAAGGGACCUAGACACAGGGACAGUAUUCAGAAUAUUCAGAAAUGGUGUGGCAGAGCGGUGGCCCAAGGAGAAGUACCCCAGCGUGCGGCACUGGUCCUGGUGGUCCUCCUCAUCGCCGGGGGUCUCUUCAUGUUCACCUACAAGUCCACACAGUUCAACGUGGAGGGCUUCGCCUUGGUGCUGGGGGCCUCAUUCAUCGGUGGCAUCCGCUGGACCCUCACCCAGAUGCUCCUGCAGAAGGCUGAACUUGGCCUCCAGAACCCCAUCGACACCAUGUUCCACCUGCAGCCGCUCAUGUUUCUGGGGCUCUUUCCUCUCUUUGCCGUAUUUGAAGGUCUCCAUUUGUCCACAUCUGAGAAAAUCUUCCGUUUCCAAGACACAGGGCUGCUCCUGCGGGUUCUCGGGAGCCUCUUCCUUGGCGGGAUUCUCGCCUUUGGUUUGGGCUUCUCUGAGUUCCUCUUGGUCUCCAGGACCUCCAGCCUCACUCUCUCCAUUGCUGGCAUUUUUAAGGAAGUCUGCACUCUGCUGUUGGCAGCUCAUCUGCUGGGCGAUCAGAUCAGCCUCCUGAACUGGCUGGGAUUUGCCCUCUGCCUCUCAGGAAUAUCCCUGCACGUUGCCCUCAAGGCCCUGCACUCAAAAGGUGAUGGUGGCCCUAAACCCUCAAAGGGCUCCAGCCCUGACCUGGAGCUGCUGCUGCGGAGCAGCCAGCGGGAGGACGAUGACAAUGAGGAGGAGUACUUUGUGGCCCAGGGGCAGCAGUGACCAGCCAGACACUGCAGUGUGGAGGCAGGCCUCUCCCCCGCCCGCCAUGCUGCUAGCACUCGCAGCGCUCAGGAUGGGUAGUUCUUCACGGCAGCUGGGAACCUGGACCAGAGUCGCCUGGGCGUGACCAUGCCUUGGGGCCAGAUCAGGGACACAUGGUUCCUGCCCCUCCUUUCAGAGCUUGAUCAAAUGGGCUAAGUACCAGGCCAGCCUGGAACCUGGCGGAGCCAGGCCCACGCUGCACUGGAAUCGCAGAGAGAAGGGAGUGGGCUGGUUCUCAGCUGUUUGCCAGGCUCUGACGGCCAAGGCUAAUUUCAGAGGCAGAUCGGCUUUCCAGGGGGAUCGGGUUUGGACAGCAGAGCCAGAGGGAAGGGGGCUGGAGAGGCUGGGGCCUCAUCACCUGGACAGCAUCUUUUCUCAGAGAGCAGAUUUAUUUAUAGUUUGGAAAUAAAUGGUUCAUGGUCCACUGGCCGCCUGUGUUGCUGGAGGUGUGGGCCUGGGAGGGGUGGUGGGGGCCUGGCCUCCCCUCUGCUUUCCCUGCCUGGAGCCUGUUUCACGUGACUGGUCACGAGCCGGGCCUACAUGCCCGUUUGAGUGCAGUGCCCUCUCCUCUGGGCCCCGCCGUGCCUGCUGGCAGGAAUAAAUGGCUGUUCACUGAGUACCACAUUCAAGACUACUUGCUUUCACAGCCUAGAUUUGAGUCCUGGCUGUGCCACUAGCUGUGUGACCGUAAGCAAAUUACCUGUCUGUGCCAUAGUUGUUUCUUUUUUUGUGUUUUUGUCUUUUAAUCUGUGAAAUGGGGAUGAAAAUAGCUAUCUCGGAGUCCUGAAAAUUAAGUGAGUCAGUAUUGGUAACAGAUUAAAUGCUCUAUAAGUG